ACUGAGGUGAAAAAUGCAAUUGACUAC
This 27-nucleotide non-coding RNA is filed under the name Homo sapiens (human). The record is from RNAcentral. Lineage: Eukaryota; Metazoa; Chordata; Mammalia; Primates; Hominidae.